GACGAACGCUGGCGGCGUGCUUAACACAUGCAAGUCGAACGGAAAGGCCCUGCUUGCAGGGUACUCGAGUGGCGAACGGGUGAGUAACACGUGGGUGAUCUGCCCUGCACUUCGGGAUAAGCCUGGGAAACUGGGUCUAAUACCUGAUAGGAGCCAUUUUUAGUGUGAUGGUUGGAAAGUUUUUUCGGUGUAGGAUGAGCUCGCGGCCUAUCAGCUUGUUGGUGGGGUAAUGGCCUACCAAGGCGGCGACGGGUAGCCGGCCUGAGAGGGUGGACGGCCACAUUGGGACUGAGAUACGGCCCAGACUCCUACGGGAGGCAGCAGUGGGGAAUAUUGCACAAUGGGCGCAAGCCUGAUGCAGCGACGCCGCGUGGGGGAUGACGGCCUUCGGGUUGUAAACGCCUUUCGCUAGGGACGAAGCUUUUUGUGACGGUACCUAGAGAAGAAGCACCGGCUAACUACGUG
RNAcentral lists this ribosomal RNA (465 nucleotides) under uncultured bacterium. Its description in RNAcentral is "partial 16S ribosomal RNA". It matches the Rfam family "Bacterial small subunit ribosomal RNA", at positions 28 to 507 of the family's 1533-position model. The record is from RNAcentral.